UGGGGAAUAUUGCACAAUGGGCGCAAGCCUGAUGCAGCCAUGCCGCGUGUGUGAAGAAGGCCUUCGGGUUGUAAAGCACUUUCAGCGAGGAGGAAGGGUAGUGUGUUAAUAGCACAUUGCAUUGACGUUACUCGCAGAAGAAGCACCGGCUAACUCCGUGCCAGCAGCCGCGGUAAUACGGAGGGUGCAAGCGUUAAUCGGAAUUACUGGGCGUAAAGCGCACGCAGGCGGUUUGUUAAGUCAGAUGUGAAAUCCCCGCGCUUAACGUGGGAACUGCAUUUGAAACUGGCAAGCUAGAGUCUUGUAGAGGGGGGUAGAAUUCCAGGUGUAGCGGUGAAAUGCGUAGAGAUCUGGAGGAAUACCGGUGGCGAAGGCGGCCCUCUGGACAAAGACUGACGCUCAGGUGCGAAAGCGUGGGGAGCAAACA
This 427-nucleotide ribosomal RNA is filed under the name uncultured bacterium. Its description in RNAcentral is "partial 16S ribosomal RNA". It matches the Rfam family "Bacterial small subunit ribosomal RNA", at positions 355 to 774 of the family's 1533-position model. The record is from RNAcentral.